This 254-nucleotide ribosomal RNA is filed under the name uncultured bacterium. RNAcentral describes it as "partial 16S ribosomal RNA". It matches the Rfam family "Bacterial small subunit ribosomal RNA", at positions 524 to 776 of the family's 1533-position model. The record is from RNAcentral.
CACGUAGGGGGCGAGCGUUGUCCGGAUUUAUUGGGCGUAAAGAGCUCGUAGGCGGCUUGGUAAGUCAGGUGUGAAACCUCCAGGCUCAACCUGGAGACGCCACUUGAUACUGCCAUAGCUAGAGUCCGGUAGGGGAGCGUGGAAUUUCUGGUGUAGCGGUGAAAUGCGUAGAUAUCAGGAGGAAUACCGGUGGCGAAGGCGGCCUUCUGGACGAUGACUGACGCUGAGACGCGAAAGCGUGGGGAGCAAACAGG